RNAcentral lists this ribosomal RNA (253 nucleotides) under uncultured bacterium. RNAcentral describes it as "partial 16S ribosomal RNA". It matches the Rfam family "Bacterial small subunit ribosomal RNA", at positions 524 to 776 of the family's 1533-position model. The record is from RNAcentral.
UACGAAGGGGGCUAGCGUUGCUCGGAAUUACUGGGCGUAAAGGGCGCGUAGGCGGACAGUUUAGUCAGAGGUGAAAGCCCAGGGCUCAACCUUGGAAUUGCCUUUGAUACUGGCUGUCUUGAGUUCGGGAGAGGUGAGUGGAAUGCCGAGUGUAGAGGUGAAAUUCGUAGAUAUUCGGCGGAACACCAGUGGCGAAGGCGACUUACUGGUCCAUUACUGACGCUGAGGCUCGAAAGCGUGGGGAGCAAACAGG